UUGGAGGGCAAGUCUGGUGCCAGCAGCCGCGGUAAUUCCAGCUCCAAUAGCGUAUAUUAAAGUUGUUGCAGUUAAAAAGCUCGUAGUUGAAUUUCGGGGUUCAUCCGUUGGUCGGGCUUUUUUGGUCUGUACUGGCGUGAUGGAUUCCUACCUUCUGAAUAACCAGCAUGUCAUUAAUUUGGUGCGCUGGGGAAGCAGGACUGUUACCUUGAAAAAAUUAGAGUGCUUAAAGCAGGCUAUCGCCUGAAUACAUUAGCAUGGAAUAAUGAAAUAGGACGGCAUGGUUCUAUUUUGUUGGUUUCUAGGAUCACCGUAAUGAUUAAUAGGGAUAGUUGGGGGCAUUAGUAUUCAAUUGUCAGAGGUGAAAUUCUUGGAUUUAUUGAAGACUAACUUCUGCGAAAGCAUUUGCCAAGGAUGUUUUCAUUAAUCAAGAACGAAAGUUAGGGGAUCGAAGACGAUCAGAUACCGUCGUAGUCUUAACCAUAAACUAUGGGCCACUAGGAUCGGACGAUGUUAAUUUUUUAAUGUACUUGUUCGGC
RNAcentral lists this ribosomal RNA (539 nucleotides) under uncultured Acaulosporaceae. RNAcentral's name for it is "SSU rRNA". It matches the Rfam family "Eukaryotic small subunit ribosomal RNA", at positions 548 to 1084 of the family's 1831-position model. Lineage: Eukaryota; Fungi; Glomeromycota; Glomeromycetes; Diversisporales; Acaulosporaceae. The record is from RNAcentral.